GGUAGGAUGGCCGAGUGGUCUAAGGCGCUUGAUUCAAGUAUCGGUUGAAUAUUUCGGCGGCAAGCCGCUGCUCCCAAGUUAUCCUGGGUUCGAAUCCCAGUUCUACCA
Molecule: transfer RNA, 108 nt
Filed under: Malassezia sp. CBS 17886
Lineage: Eukaryota; Fungi; Basidiomycota; Malasseziomycetes; Malasseziales; Malasseziaceae
Description: tRNA-Leu
Rfam family: tRNA
About the family: Transfer RNA (tRNA) molecules are approximately 80 nucleotides in length. Their secondary structure includes four short double-helical elements and three loops (D, anti-codon, and T loops).
Source: RNAcentral